RNAcentral lists this ribosomal RNA (445 nucleotides) under uncultured bacterium. Its description in RNAcentral is "bacterial SSU rRNA". It matches the Rfam family "Bacterial small subunit ribosomal RNA", at positions 29 to 521 of the family's 1533-position model. The record is from RNAcentral.
AAUGAACGCUGGCGGCAGGCCUAACACAUGCAAGUCGAACGGGUCCUUCGGGACUAGUGGCGGACGGGUGAGUAACGCGUGGGAACAUACCCUUUGGUACGGAAUAGCCUCGGGAAACUGGGAGUAAUACCGUAUGUGGUCGAGAGACGAAAGAUUUAUCGCCAAAGGAUUGGCCCGCGUUGGAUUAGGUAGUUGGUGGGGUAAUGGCCUACCAAGCCGACGAUCCAUAGCUGGUUUGAGAGGAUGAUCAGCCACACUGGGACUGAGACACGGCCCAGACUCCUACGGGAGGCAGCAGUGGGGAAUCUUAGACAAUGGGGGAAACCCUGAUCUAGCCAUGCCGCGUGAUCGAUGAAGGCCUUAGGGUUGUAAAGAUCUUUCAGGUGGGAGAUAAUGACUGUACCACCAGAAGAAGCCCGGCUAACUCCGUGCCAGCAGCCGCGGU